RNAcentral lists this ribosomal RNA (468 nucleotides) under uncultured bacterium. RNAcentral's name for it is "partial 16S ribosomal RNA". It matches the Rfam family "Bacterial small subunit ribosomal RNA", at positions 28 to 507 of the family's 1533-position model. The record is from RNAcentral.
GACGAACGCUGGCGGCGUGCUUAACACAUGCAAGUCGAACGGAAAGGCCCUGCUUUUGUGGGGUGCUCGAGUGGCGAACGGGUGAGUAACACGUGAGUAACCUGCCCUUGACUUUGGGAUAACUUCAGGAAACUGGGGCUAAUACCGGAUAGGAGCUCCUGCUGCAUGGGGGGGGUUGGAAAGAUUCGGCGGUUGGGGAUGGACUCGCGGCUUAUCAGCUUGUUGGGGGGGUAGUGGAUUACCAAGGCCUUGACGGGUAGCCGGCCUGGGAGGGUGACCGGCCACCUUGGGACUGCGGUACGGCCCAGACUCCUACGGGCGGCAGCAGUGGGGAAUAUUGCACAAUGGGCGGAAGCCUGAUGCAGCAACGCCGCGUGCGGGAUGACGGCCUUCGGGUUGUAAACCGCUUUCGCCUGUGACGAAGCGUGAGUGACGGUAAUGGGUAAAGAAGCACCGGCUAACUACGUG